This 373-nucleotide ribosomal RNA is filed under the name uncultured Glomeromycotina. RNAcentral describes it as "SSU rRNA". It matches the Rfam family "Eukaryotic small subunit ribosomal RNA", at positions 569 to 949 of the family's 1831-position model. The record is from RNAcentral. Lineage: Eukaryota; Fungi; Glomeromycota.
AGCAGCCGCGGUAAUUCCAGCUCCAAUAGCGUAUAUUAAAGUUGUUGCAGUUAAAAAGCUCGUAGUUGAAUUUCGGGAUCAAUGCGUCGGUCUUGCUUCGGUACGUACUGGCGUCAUUGAUUUCUCCCUUCUGACGAACCAUGAUGUCAUUAAUUUGGUGUUAUGGGAAAUCAGGACUGUUACUUUGAAAAAAUUGAGUGUUUAAAGCAGGCUCACGCUUGAAUACAUUAGCAUGGAAUAAUGAAAUAGGACGUUCGAUCCUAUUUUGUUGGUUUUAGGAUCAACGUAAUGAUUAAUAGGGAUAGUUGGGGGCAUUAGUAUUCAAUUGUCAGAGGUGAAAUUCUUGGAUUUAUUGAAGACUAACUACUGCGAA